GCAUAUCAAUAAGCGGAGGAAAAGAAACCAACAGGGAUUGCCCUAGUAACGGCGAGUGAAGCGGCAAGAGCUCAAAUUUGAAAUCUGGCUCCUCCGGGGUCCGAGUUGUAAUUUGCAGAGGAUGCUUCGGGUGCGGUCCCCGUCUAAGUACCCUGGAAUGGGUCGUCAUAGAGGGUGAGAAUCCCGUCUGGGACGGGUGGCCGUGUCCGUGUGAAGCUCCUUCGACGAGUCGAGUUGUUUGGGAAUGCAGCUCUAAAUGGGUGGUAAAUUUCAUCUAAAGCUAAAUAUUGGCCGGAGACCGAUAGCGCACAAGUAGAGUGAUCGAAAGAUGAAAAGCACUUUGAAAAGAGAGUUAAACAGCACGUGAAAUUGUUGAAAGGGAAGCGCUUGCGACCAGACUCGCCCGCGGGGGUUCAGCCGGUACUCGUACCGGUGUACUCCCCCGUGGGCGGGCCAGCGUCGGUUUGGGCGGCCGGUCAAAGGCCUCCGGAAUGUAUCGCCCUUCGGGGCGUCUUAUAGCCGGGGGUGCAAUGCGGCCAGCCUGGACCGAGGAACGCGCUUCGGCUCGGACGCUGGCGUAAUGGUCGUAAGCGGCCCGUCUUGAAACACGGACCAAGGAGUCUAACAUCUACGCGAGUGUUCGGGUGUCAAACCCGUCCGCGCAGUGAAAGCGAACGGAGGUGGGAACCCCGUACGGGGUGCACCAUCGACCGAUCCUGAUGUCUUCGGAUGGAUUUGAGUAAGAGCGUAGCUGUUGGGACCCGAAAGAUGGUGAACUAUGCCUGAAUAGGGCGAAGCCAGAGGAAACUCUGGUGGAGGCUCGCAGCGGUUCUGACGUGCAAAUCGAUCGUCAAAUUUGGGUAUAGGGGCGAAAGACUAAUCGAACCAUCUGGUAGCUGGUUCUGC
RNAcentral lists this ribosomal RNA (906 nucleotides) under Paecilomyces maximus. Its description in RNAcentral is "LSU rRNA". It matches the Rfam family "Eukaryotic large subunit ribosomal RNA", at positions 38 to 960 of the family's 3401-position model. Lineage: Eukaryota; Fungi; Ascomycota; Eurotiomycetes; Eurotiales; Thermoascaceae. RNAcentral also lists the same sequence under 1 other name. The record is from RNAcentral.